ACAUGCAAGUCGCACGAUCGGGGGUAACUCCGGUAGGUGCGGACGGUGAGUAACGCGUAGGUAUCUGUCCAUGGUGGGGAUAACAGUGGGAAACUGCUGCUAAUACCGCAUGAUGACCGAGGUCCAAAAGGCGCAAAGUCGCCUGUGGAGGAGCCUGCGUACGAUUAGCUUGUUGGUGGGGUAACUGCCUACCAAGGCGACGAAUCGUUAGCUGGUCUGAGAGGAUGAUCAGCCACACUGGGACUGAGACACGGCCCAGAUUCC
Molecule: ribosomal RNA, 264 nt
Filed under: uncultured bacterium
Lineage: Bacteria
Description: partial 16S ribosomal RNA
Rfam family: Bacterial small subunit ribosomal RNA
Source: RNAcentral